UACGGAGGGUGCAAACGUUGCUCGGAAUUAUUGGGCGUAAAGCGCACGUAGGCGGCCGAAUAAGUCGGGUGUGAAAGCCCUGGGCUCAACCCAGGAAGUGCACUCGAAACUGCUCGGCUUGAAUAUGGAAGAGGGUCGCGGAAUUCCCGGUGUAGAGGUGAAAUUCGUAGAUAUCGGGAGGAACACCAGUGGCGAAGGCGGCGACCUGGGCCAAUAUUGACGCUGAGGUGCGAAAGCGUGGGGAGCAAACAGG
RNAcentral lists this ribosomal RNA (253 nucleotides) under uncultured bacterium. RNAcentral's name for it is "partial 16S ribosomal RNA". It matches the Rfam family "Bacterial small subunit ribosomal RNA", at positions 524 to 776 of the family's 1533-position model. The record is from RNAcentral.